RNAcentral lists this transfer-messenger RNA (406 nucleotides) under bacterium. It matches the Rfam family "transfer-messenger RNA". From Rfam's summary of the family: Bacterial tmRNA, also known as 10Sa RNA or SsrA, is named for its dual tRNA and mRNA-like properties. Its role is to liberate the mRNA from a stalled ribosome. The record is from RNAcentral.
GGGGGUGUCAGUUUCGACACAAGAAAUGUGUUGUGCGUGGCACGCAGAGCUCUCGUGAACUCUUUAAACUUGCGAGAAAAUUUAAGUGCAGACUCUAUUGUCGCACGGGCAAAGUCAAUUGUUUCUCCGUAUUUUACGGCGAACGACUUUGUUUUCGCCUACGUUCGAGCGUAAGCUCGCAUAAGCGAACGUUCACUUUUCUGACGUCCGGUACAGGAUAGUGGUCGCUUUAUCUCUCGGACUGUAAUCCCGAUACUGCUCAUAUCGGGGCCAAACUUAGAGCUUUGAUUUUCGGAUGUUUUGUCUGAUUUUUAGUCCGAAGGUCGAGAACCAAAAUCUGUCUAAGCGUGCUAGAUUCGUCCAACACCCUCUUAUGGACGCGGGCUCAUUCCCGCCACCUCCACAG